UUCAUGGUGUAAUAAUUACUUCCCGUUGUCCGCACUCGUAGCUCAUAGGGCGGCCUGCCUUCCAGAGGGCCUUGGGACUGGAUCGAAAGAUAUAUCUACUAGAAACAAUGGUAAGUACUUAAAUGUUUGCGUUACUUUAUAUGAUUGUCAUAAAAAACAGUAGCAGAUGUGGAUGACGGGAGGGAGGUAGAGAGCUGGGCAGCAUGGGCAAUAUCGACUUUAGUCUUUCUAUCUUUUUUCAGAAGAGACGUCGUCGACUAGCUCUGAUCGAUCAGAUGUCGGUUUCUCUCAACCAGACCCCAGCGAUAUUGGAAGUUGUUCUCCACGGGCGGGUCUCAGCGACGAAGCCAGUCAAAACCAAAGGACUAUCUCCGAAGAAGGCGGGUCUGGUAGGCUCAGCCAUUGGCCCUCCUCUUCAACGAUCGGUAGUGGAGGAAAACGAAAACAAGCGAAUACAGGAACAAACGACACCUGCAGGAAAAAGCAAGCCCGUCGUGAGG
This is a long non-coding RNA of Eriocheir sinensis (Chinese mitten crab), 500 nucleotides long. RefSeq lists it as uncharacterized. The record is from RefSeq and is a predicted model, not a curated record. Lineage: Eukaryota; Metazoa; Arthropoda; Malacostraca; Decapoda; Varunidae. The transcript has 3 exons.